UUUCCGUAGGUGAACCUGCGGAAGGAUCAUUAUUGUAUAACCGAGGUGCGAGGCCUGUCGCUGACCCGAAAGGUCGUUGACGCCCGAGGGCGCUCACACACAUCCAUCUCACCCCUACGUGCACCACCGCGGGGGUCGCCCUUUGGCUUUUUCGGAGGGGGGCUUACGUUUUCACACAGUCUUUGUAUGGACUGUAGUAUGUAUUUUUUUUUCUUUCGUUCACGCAAUCAAUAAAAAUUUCAACAACGGAUAUCUCGGCCGUCGCAUCGAUAAAAAACG
This 279-nucleotide unclassified non-coding RNA is filed under the name plant metagenome. RNAcentral describes it as "partial contains small subunit ribosomal RNA, internal transcribed spacer 1, and 5.8S ribosomal RNA". The record is from RNAcentral.